AGUAUGCAGACCGUUUCGAGGACUGGGCAUAUGAAGAGGAAGGGUUGAAGUUUUACCGACGGAAUUUCCAGCCGGACGAGUUGCGGAUGUUUGGAAAGCGGCCAAGGCCGAUUAACUCCAACUCGAACAACUCGACAUCGAACAAAGCGUGAGGCUCUUGAUCUUUGUCAGCGGGAUGGUGCGCAGCAAAAUCUUCUCUGGAGGUUCUUGCUACUGAAGUCGAGCGUGACGUUGUACAAGUUAUGCGUUUGUACGAGGUAAUCGUUAAAGCUCUCCUUCGGAGCGAUUCCGGUGAAAAUGAUCUCCUUGAGGUUGGAGUUGCGCAGACAUUCGGCGAAAUCGCCUACAGUUGUAGGGCAGCAGGAACGUUCACCGUUUCCUGCGUCGGAGACAGUCCCAAGUACUUCAUCGUGCGCUUCAAAGCCUCCAAAAAGUCCACAGUUACCUGUUCAUCAUCAUCCGGCUCGUGGUCCCAGCCGCCGCCAGAACUGGUCAGUAGUGGGCAGCUUGGCCAACCGGAAGUUGGCGAAAUUCUUGGCGCGAUUAUUGGGAUUGAUUAGAUGUAUGUGGUGCAGCCCGAGAGUGGCAACGUUCGGAGAGUAUCGUAGAAUCUUUUUCAAUCGGGAACCAGAUUUCGCAACACCACCAAGUCGAUCAACCGCAUUUAAUCGGGCAGUUCCACGCGUGCGUUUGGCCGGAUUGCUAUUUUUGAGUGCCAAUGGAUGCUGGAACAGAAUGAUCCAGUUUGCCAGAUUCCGUGGAAUAUCGGCUUACUAUCCUUUGUUGCUGUUCCGGAUACUAUAUUCGACCGUUUGUUGGGUCAACUGUUCUAGGCCUUCGUGACCUGCCCAGAGUGCUCGUGGUUCCAAUGUACGGGGCAUUGUCAGAGCUUCAGCUUUGCAACAAACGGGUAGAGCCGAUCGUUUGGAGAAUUGUGAAUGCUGCAGCGUAUCAAAUCCUAUAGCUGUUCGCUCUCGUAACUAAUA
RNA transcript from Culex quinquefasciatus (southern house mosquito), 986 nucleotides. RefSeq lists it as uncharacterized. The transcript has 3 exons. The record is from RefSeq and is a predicted model, not a curated record. Lineage: Eukaryota; Metazoa; Arthropoda; Insecta; Diptera; Culicidae.